UACGGGGGGAGCAAGCGUUGUUCGGAUUUACUGGGCGUAAAGGGCGCGUAGGCGGUCAGCACAAGUCAGUUGUGAAAUCUCCGGGCUUAACUCGGAAAGGUCAACUGAUACUGUGCGACUAGAGUGCAGAAGGGGCAACUGGAAUUCUCGGUGUAGCGGUGAAAUGCGUAGAUAUCGAGAGGAACACCUGCGGCGAAGGCGGGUUGCUGGGCUGACACUGACGCUGAUGCGCGAAAGCCAGGGAGCGAACGGG
RNAcentral lists this ribosomal RNA (253 nucleotides) under uncultured bacterium. Its description in RNAcentral is "partial 16S ribosomal RNA". It matches the Rfam family "Bacterial small subunit ribosomal RNA", at positions 524 to 776 of the family's 1533-position model. The record is from RNAcentral.